This 252-nucleotide ribosomal RNA is filed under the name uncultured bacterium. Its description in RNAcentral is "partial 16S ribosomal RNA". It matches the Rfam family "Bacterial small subunit ribosomal RNA", at positions 524 to 776 of the family's 1533-position model. The record is from RNAcentral.
UACGUAGGGUGCGAGCGUUAAUCGGAAUUACUGGGCGUAAAGCGUGCGCAGGCGGUUCGUUAAGUUCGUUGUGAAAGCCCCGGGCUCAACCUGGGAACUGCAAUGGAAACUGGCGGGCUUGAAUGCGGCAGAGGGGGGUGGAAUUCCACGUGUAGCAGUGAAAUGCGUAGAGAUGUGGAGGAACACCGAUGGCGAAGGCAGCCCCCUGGCUAACACUGACGCUCAUGCACGAAAGCGUGGGGAGCAAACAGG